This 393-nucleotide ribosomal RNA is filed under the name uncultured bacterium. RNAcentral's name for it is "partial 16S ribosomal RNA". It matches the Rfam family "Bacterial small subunit ribosomal RNA", at positions 523 to 918 of the family's 1533-position model. The record is from RNAcentral.
AUACGGAGGAUGCAAGCGUUAUCCGGAUUUAUUGGGUUUAAAGGGUGCGUAGGCGGGACUGUAAGUCAGGGGUGAAAUACUGCAGCUUAACUGUAGCAUUGCCUUUGAAACUGCCGUUCUUGAGUACAGUUGAGGUAGGCGGAAUGUGGUGUGUAGCGGUGAAAUGCAUAGAUAUACCACAGAACGCCGAUUGCGAAGGCAGCUUACUAAGCUGUUACUGACGCUGAGGCACAAAAGCGUGGGGAUCAAACAGGAUUAGAUACCCUGGUAGUCCACGCUGUAAACGAUGAUUACUGGUUGUUAGCGUUAUAUAGCUAGUGACUGAGCGAAAGCAUUAAGUAAUCCACCUGGGGAGUACGUCGGCAACGAUGAAACUCAAAGGAAUUGGCGGGG